UGUCCUGCAGGGAGAAGUAGCUCUUGGGGACUGAUGCACGUCUCUGCAAUUCAGAAGAUGAUAACAACCACACAUUGUGAAGUGACAGAACCAGAGAAUCUUCAAACUCUGCCAUUGGAACACAGAAGUAUUCAUAUCACGGAGUGUCCCACUCAGAGCGGAAAAAAUGAGAAAUUACUUCCUUGUCUUUACUCACUUUGAAACCCACUGCAGAAUCCAUGUGAUAUCUCAUUGAGGAUGCUUAUCUGUUCCCAGUGUUGGAUGUGUUAAGUGCCUCACUGGAUCUAGAACUUCUCAUCUUUUCCAAAGUUUUACAGGCAGUGGAGUGCUGGUAAACACCAAAUGCCUGGCUCUGGGGAUUUUCAAGCAGUUACAGAUUUCCAUACAAUAAAUGUUUCCAGAACCUUCAUUCCACAUCUCCAAGGAAAGUCCUGCCACAGUCUCUGCAUAGCUGAAGGGAUAAACGGUAGCAGAUAUGAAGAUGUGCCGCUUGGAACCCUGCUGCCUGGCCGGAGUACUGCCAUCCACACCCCUCCUUCGUUCUGACGUUCUCUGUUCACGUUAACUUCCUGCCAAGGAGGGAGCAAAUGGGCGCGGUGAGUCUAUUCCAGAGAAGGGAAGUGCAAUGGUUUGAACAGCAU
This is a long non-coding RNA of Ochotona curzoniae (black-lipped pika), 641 nucleotides long. RefSeq lists it as uncharacterized. The record is from RefSeq and is a predicted model, not a curated record. The transcript has 5 exons. Lineage: Eukaryota; Metazoa; Chordata; Mammalia; Lagomorpha; Ochotonidae.